CCCAGUGGCGGACGGGUGAGUAACGCGUGGGCAACCUGCCCCGUGCCGGGGGAUACCGCCUGGAAACAGGCGCUAAUACCGCAUAAGCGCAUACAGCCGCAUGGGUGUAUGCGGAAAGCUCCGGCGGCACGGGAUGGGCCCGCGCCCGAUUAGCCAGUUGGCGGGGUAACGGCCCACCAAAGCGGCGAUCGGUAGCCGGCCUGAGAGGGCGGACGGCCACAUUGGGACUGAGACACGGCCCAAACUCCUACGGGAGGCAGCAG
RNAcentral lists this ribosomal RNA (263 nucleotides) under uncultured bacterium. RNAcentral's name for it is "partial 16S ribosomal RNA". It matches the Rfam family "Bacterial small subunit ribosomal RNA", at positions 91 to 354 of the family's 1533-position model. The record is from RNAcentral.